AGUCUGGGAGGCUGGCGCAAACGCAGCGGGUGGCUGGGGUAGGGGCUCAUUGGGAGCCCACGGAGCGCGGCGGCGGCUCGGGGGCCGAGUUCCCUACAACAAGGAUGGCGGUGACGGGCGCAGGGAGCGGGGCCCGGCUCUCCUUGCCUCGAGGCUCCUCUGAUUCCACUCGCGUGGCUGCGCGGCCCUGGCAGCGGCCUUCGUCCCGGGGGUGGGAGCUACACAGGGUUCCGCCCCGUCCUGGCGAGGACGCCUGAGGGGGCUCUGUGGUAAGGCUCUGUCGGGCAGGCCGGGCUUCCGGGAGGACCUGGUCUGGAUCGGUCACCGCUGGGUGCCUGAGCUCCGCAUGGAGCCUGCAGCCUUUGUUUAACUUAUAAAGAAAUGGGGGCUCCGAGCAGUCAAGAAGAACAUGCCCCAAGUUAUUCGUCAGUGAGGCGGAAAUUGUGGUGUACUUGUUCCAGACCAACUAUGAAGAUAGGAUGCCCAUCCAGAAGAACGGGAAGCAUUUUCUUCCUCACCUUUGGAAAGUAAAACAAAAAAAAAAAGAAAAAUAAAAGAAAAAA
Molecule: long non-coding RNA, 563 nt
Filed under: Homo sapiens (human)
Lineage: Eukaryota; Metazoa; Chordata; Mammalia; Primates; Hominidae
Description: non-protein coding GCC2-AS1:10
Source: RNAcentral